UACAGAGGUCUCAAGCGUUGUUCGGAUUCAUUGGGCGUAAAGGGUGCGUAGGUGGCGCCGUAAGUCGGAUGUGAAAUUUCGGAGCUUAACUCCGAAACUGCAUUCGAUACUGCGGUGCUUGAGGACUGGAGAGGAGACUGGAAUUCAUGGUGUAGCAGUGAAAUGCGUAGAGAUCAUAAGGAAGACCAGUGGCGAAGGCGGGUCUCUGGACAGUUCCUGACACUGAGGCACGAAGGCCAGGGGAGCAAACGGG
RNAcentral lists this ribosomal RNA (253 nucleotides) under uncultured bacterium. Its description in RNAcentral is "partial 16S ribosomal RNA". It matches the Rfam family "Bacterial small subunit ribosomal RNA", at positions 524 to 776 of the family's 1533-position model. The record is from RNAcentral.